GACUAGUGACAGAGUGAGAGAGGGGGUGACUAGUGACAGAGUUAGGGAGGGAGUGACUAGUGACAGAGUUAGGGAGGGAGUGACUAGUGACAGAGAGAGGGAUGGGGUGACUAGUGACAGUCACCCCCUCUCUCACUCUGUCACUAGUCACCCCCUCUCUCACUCUUUCACCAGUCAU
Non-coding RNA from Pelobates cultripes (western spadefoot toad), 178 nucleotides. NCBI's taxonomy places the organism in Eukaryota, Metazoa, Chordata, Amphibia, Anura, Pelobatidae. The record is from the annotation of a GenBank genome assembly.